This is a long non-coding RNA of Penaeus monodon (black tiger shrimp), 472 nucleotides long. RefSeq lists it as uncharacterized. The transcript has 2 exons. The record is from RefSeq and is a predicted model, not a curated record. Lineage: Eukaryota; Metazoa; Arthropoda; Malacostraca; Decapoda; Penaeidae.
UUGGCAUCUCGGCGGUUCUCAUACCCAAGAUCUCCGAGUCGCUGUGAUGGAGGCUUGAGCUGGUAGUGCACUUGUUGCUGUGGCUGUGUCAUGUGGCUUACAACGAUCCUGCCCGUCUAGCUAUACCCAGUUUCAGAAACAUAUACCAUAUUUCCAUCCCACUUUAAACCCUCGUCCCCUCUGGAAGAGUAACGUUCAAUACGUGUUUUGAAAGAUGUGUGAAAAGGUUUGGAGAACGAGGUGUUGAACGCCGCUCGUGGAGUAAUGUCAGCUCUCAUGCACACUCGGGAAAAAGGCUAAUGUUUUGAUCUCAGUGCAAGGGAUGCUGCAUCGCCCCGCCUCGAAGGAUUCUCGGCAGGCUGCAGGCGAAAUUUCACCCUCGGCAUCAGCUGAUUACUUACCUCCUUCGGCAUCCAGAUCACGUCUUCAUGAUUGCAUGUCGUCUGCAACAUCCGCUACGUUAAAGAAUUGC